This 339-nucleotide ribosomal RNA is filed under the name Triticum aestivum (bread wheat). RNAcentral's name for it is "partial small subunit ribosomal RNA". The record is from RNAcentral. Lineage: Eukaryota; Viridiplantae; Streptophyta; Magnoliopsida; Poales; Poaceae.
AUGUCCACCACAAUGAAUCAUAACCCUGAAUUGUUAUUAAAAAAACAUAUCUGUGAAACCUUACAUUUGUUACUGUUCCUGGCAUACAGUCCGUGCUUUUGUCUUCAGGAACUUUACAUCAUUAUCUUGUUUAAGCAUCCAGAAUAUAUAUCUUCAGUAACCUAUUUAACAAUGCUUUUUAGCUUUUUCCCAUGUUGUAACAUACUUCCUGUGCUGUGUGAUAAUCUACUGAUGGCCAGUUACAGCUCAAUUUCACCAUGGACAUUGCAUAUGAUGUUCUUUAUUCUCAGCGAAGCAAACAUCUCAUUUGUUUCUCAUACUAUUCUCUACAAAAACUAG